Neomonachus schauinslandi (Hawaiian monk seal) is the source of this 821-nucleotide long non-coding RNA. RefSeq lists it as uncharacterized. The record is from RefSeq and is a predicted model, not a curated record. The transcript has 4 exons. NCBI's taxonomy places the organism in Eukaryota, Metazoa, Chordata, Mammalia, Carnivora, Phocidae.
CGCCGCGCCGCGCGCCGCCGCCGCCCCUGCCCUGCCGCAGCGCGCCGCAGUCCGGCCUCCCCGCCCGGCGCCGGGAAGGCUGGCGGGCGGCCUCGUCACGUGUCCUCGGCGAUCGCCGAACAGUUCCGGGGGUGAGGAGUCCUUUCCAAAUAUAAGAGGAAUAAAGAAGUCACUUCCCCAGCUGUCAUCAUCUGCCAACACACUGAGCAAGAAUAUUUCAAGCACUACAGAAAAGACAGUCCAUCAAACCCUAGAAGAUGAUCGGCCAUCUGAUUUUUUCAAGAAAGGGAAUAGGGUGACGAAAUCUCAUCAGAAAAGCAGCAGGAGAUGAAAUUCCUGUAGGAGAGACGUCCUCCCGGUGCCAGAAAGAAAGAGACAUUCUUUCCGUCGGGGAUGAGAAGCGGUGACUGAGAAGAAUUCUGCACAGAUUUUGUUAAAAGGCUCUUGUCAUCCUUAGUCUCCCCACAUAGCCGAGGACGUUUUCUACAACUGCCUCUCCUUGUUCAACCUAUUAGCAAAGCCAGUGACUCCCACCAUUUCUCCGGGCCCCCAUUCCUUCUCAAGGCCCCCGCGUCUUGCAGAACUGGGAUUCCACAGUCGGUCUGCUUUUUUCUCCUGUUGAUCUUACGUCGGCUUAAUUCUCAGCACCAGCCGAAAAGGACCCAAAGAGGGUGCAGGGGAGCAGUUUGCCACCCCAAAAUAUUUUUAAGGGACAGCACAGCCACAGGAAAAGCUCUGAAAGCGGAGUGUAAGAGAUGCACAGGGGAGAUCCCCGUGUGUUGGGGCGUGUCUCCCUCUCUGUACCAGGAAGAGGAAGAGGA